Callithrix jacchus (white-tufted-ear marmoset) is the source of this 109-nucleotide Y RNA. It matches the Rfam family "Y RNA". From Rfam's summary of the family: Y RNAs are components of the Ro ribonucleoprotein particle (Ro RNP), in association with Ro60 and La proteins. The Y RNAs and Ro60 and La proteins are well conserved, but the function of the Ro RNP is not known. Lineage: Eukaryota; Metazoa; Chordata; Mammalia; Primates; Cebidae. The record is from Ensembl.
GGCUGGUCCAAAGGCAGUUAUCUCAAUUGAUUGUUCACAGUCAGUUACAGAUCAAACUCCUUGUUCUACUCUUUCCCCUCUUCUCACUACUGCACUUGACUAGUCUUUA